RNAcentral lists this ribosomal RNA (353 nucleotides) under uncultured eukaryote. RNAcentral describes it as "SSU rRNA". It matches the Rfam family "Eukaryotic small subunit ribosomal RNA", at positions 594 to 945 of the family's 1831-position model. The record is from RNAcentral.
AUAGCGUAUAUUAAAGUUGUUGCAGUUAAAAAGCUCGUAGUUGAAUUUCGGGAUUGACGUGAUGGUCGUGCCUUACGGGGUAUGAACUGUUGCUGUUGAUUUCUCACCUUCUGGAGAAACUUGAUGUCCUUAAUUGGGUGUCUUGCGGAUCCAGGACCUUUACCUUGAAAAAAUUAGAGUGUUUAAAGCAGGCAUUUUGCUCGAAUACAUUAGCAUGGAAUAAUAGAAUAGGACGGCAUGGUUCUAUUUUGUUGGUUUCUAGGAUCACCGUAAUGAUUAAUAGGGAUAGUUGGGGGCAUUGGUAUUGAGUCGCUAGAGGUGAAAUUCUUGGAUUGACUCAAGACCAACUAUUG